CAAUUCUGCAAAGUGCCUGUGUGAACUAUCUCGGCUUGCAUCUCAACCGCAGAUUAACAUGAAAAAACCACAUUAAAGCAAAAAGUCAACAACUUAGACUUAAAACACUAAAAUUGUCCUGGUUGAUAAGUCGAAAAUCAGAAACCACUUUGGAAAACAAAAUUCGCCUCUACAAAUCCAUACUGAAACUGAAAUAAUUAUUUUUUUUUCUCUCUCUCUUUAUAUUUACAAUCUCUUUUUUUCUUCUAGACGUUGAUAUGCAAUGACUGCACCAUCAAGUGGCUAUGCGACACCAAGCCAAAGCCUGUUACGCGAGGCCCUUCUCCCGCCCAAAAAAACAAUGAAUGCAAAAUGGAUCCAUGCAGGAGAUUGCUUUUAGUGGGAUUGGCGGCUCUUGCAUGAUCGGAGGAGGAGGACAAUCAACAAAAUAAGCGCCGACAGCUUUGAUAAAACCCAUAUCUGCAGGAAAGAAACCAGAACGGUCGUUUGUCUAUACAUUUGAGUAUUAUAACUCAUAUAAAUAUGUGUACAUUAAUGGAAACCCAUGAAAGGAUACCCUUUUGCAUAUUCCGCAGUUUGAAAAUAUGACAGAGAAUUUGCAUAUGGCUGGGAAUAACAUCUGCANCGACACCAAGCCAAAGCCUGUUACGCGAGGAACCCAUCAGAACGCAGCCCUCCUCCCGCCCAAAAAAACAAUGAAUGCAAAAUGGAUCCAUGCAGGAGAUUGCUUUUAGUGGGAUUGGCGGCUCUUGCAUGAUCGGAGGAGGAGGACAAUCAACGAAAUAAGCGCCGACAGCUUUGAUAAAACCCAUAUCUGCAGGAAAGAAACCAGAACGGUCGUUUGUCUAUACAUUUGAGUAUUAUAACUCAUAUAAAUAUGUGUACAUUAAUGGAAACCCAUGAAAGGAUACCCUUUUGCAUAUUCCGCAGUUUGAAAAUAUGACAGAAAAUUUGCAUAUGGCUGGGAAUAACAUCUGCAGACUUCUUUAAUUGGUGGAGCAGCAAUGCCGUGACAAGGAAUAUUUGCGCCCGUUGCAAAGUUGUAAAACGGCGCCUCCAAGCACCCUUCCUAUUCAACAUUGGCUAGUUUCGAGCCCAGAUUGUCGCCAUCGCCCCUUGGCACGACCCUGUGGAGCAGUACUUGGUCCAAACAGGAAAACAACUU
Molecule: long non-coding RNA, 1165 nt
Filed under: Drosophila guanche
Lineage: Eukaryota; Metazoa; Arthropoda; Insecta; Diptera; Drosophilidae
Source: RNAcentral